AGUGAACGCUGGCGGUAGGCCUAACACAUGCAAGUCGAACGGCAGCACAGUAAGAGCUUGCUCUUACGGGUGGCGAGUGGCGGACGGGUGAGGCAUACAUCGGAAUCUACUUUUUCGUGGGGGAUAACGUAGGGAAACUUACGCUAAUACCGCAUACUACCUACGGGUGAAAGCAGGGGAUCUUCGGACCUUGCGCGAUUGAAUGAGCCGAUGUCGGAUUAGCUAGUUGGCGGGGUAAAGGCCCACCAAGGCGACGAUCCGUAGCUGGCCUGAGAGGAUGAUCGGCCACACUGGAACUGAGACACGGUCCAGACUCCUACGGGAGGCAGCAGUGGGGAAUAUUGGACAAUGGGCGCAAGCCUGAUCCAGCCAUACCGCGUGGGUGAAGAAGGCCUUCGGGUUGUAAAGCCCUUUUGUUGGGAAAGAAAAGCAGCAGGUUAAUACCCCGCUGUUCUGACGGUACCCAAAGAAUAAGCACCGGCUAACUUCGUG
Molecule: ribosomal RNA, 492 nt
Filed under: uncultured bacterium
Lineage: Bacteria
Description: partial 16S ribosomal RNA
Rfam family: Bacterial small subunit ribosomal RNA
Source: RNAcentral